Molecule: long non-coding RNA, 533 nt
Filed under: Homo sapiens (human)
Lineage: Eukaryota; Metazoa; Chordata; Mammalia; Primates; Hominidae
Description: non-protein coding lnc-FAM213B-2:2
Source: RNAcentral
UUCCACUGGGGGUGUGGCAUGGGGGGAGGGGCUGAGGGCAGCUUCUUGGCACCCGGGCUGCCCUGCCUCAUGGGUGCCCUUCUCAGGGCCUCUGGCCCCGCCUCCCAAGCCGCCCUCCUUCCUUGCUUCUGUCUCCUGACCUUUCAGUCCAAAGGGGCCCCAGGGGCUGCUGGGAGGAAGGUCAGGCCCUUGUCCUACUCCACACCCUCUGCUCUGCCCCUAACCACCCGGUGGGGGGUUACAAAGGCCCCACCCUGGGUGUUCUUUCUCUUCAAUCUCCAAGGAGGAUGAUUGAUCGCAGAGUUGAACAACAGAGAAUGUGUGCACAGUGCCAGGCACAGGUGUGGUCAAGAUUCACCUGGGAGAGGAAGUGGGCAGGGGCAGAGGAGUGUGCCCACCUGAGCUGAAAGGCUGCAUGGCAGGUGACCAUUAUCACCAGUGUCGCCAGCCAGGUCACCUCUCUGAAUUUUGUGGUUGCAACCUCCAUGAUUCCCUAGAGCUGUUUUUACCCAGAACUAAUGAAAAAUUCUGCA